Molecule: long non-coding RNA, 222 nt
Filed under: Elaeis guineensis (African oil palm)
Lineage: Eukaryota; Viridiplantae; Streptophyta; Magnoliopsida; Arecales; Arecaceae
Description: long non-coding RNA (EGUI_LNC054093)
Source: RNAcentral
GGGGAAAAUCCCUUCCAUAAUAGGGAUCUAAUAAAGGAAUUGGUCAACGGGUGCAUCCCGCCUGAGGUCGUCUGCAGGAUCGUCCAUGCCGACCCUGAGCAGUGGGCCUGGGACUCUCUAGGGUCCUUUUUCAAGAUAGAUCAAUUCAUUCCUUCUUCCUGUUUCUUUACUCUGCUUACCUUUCGGCUUUUAUAUUGACUCCCUGACCGCUCUUGCAGGUGG